UGGGGAAUAUUGCACAAUGGGCGCAAGCCUGAUGCAGCCAUGCCGCGUGUAUGAAGAAGGCCUUCGGGUUGUAAAGUACUUUCAGCGGGGAGGAAGGCGAUAAGGUUAAUAACCUUGUCGAUUGACGUUACCCGCAGAAGAAGCACCGGCUAACUCCGUGCCAGCAGCCGCGGUAAUACGGAGGGUGCAAGCGUUAAUCGGAAUUACUGGGCGUAAAGCGCACGCAGGCGGUCUGUCAAGUCGGAUGUGAAAUCCCCGGGCUCAACCUGGGAACUGCAUUCGAAACUGGCAGGCUAGAGUCUUGUAGAGGGGGGCAGAAUUCCAGGUGUAGCGGUGAAAUGCGUAGAGAUCUGGAGGAAUACCGGUGGCGAAGGCGGCCCCCUGGACAAAGACUGACGCUCAGGUGCGAAAGCGUGGGGAGCAAACA
This 427-nucleotide ribosomal RNA is filed under the name uncultured bacterium. Its description in RNAcentral is "partial 16S ribosomal RNA". It matches the Rfam family "Bacterial small subunit ribosomal RNA", at positions 355 to 774 of the family's 1533-position model. The record is from RNAcentral.